Molecule: ribosomal RNA, 464 nt
Filed under: uncultured bacterium
Lineage: Bacteria
Description: partial 16S ribosomal RNA
Rfam family: Bacterial small subunit ribosomal RNA
Source: RNAcentral
ACGAACGCUGGCGGCGUGCUUAACACAUGCAAGUCGAAUGGAAAGGCCCUGCUUGCAGGGUACUCGAGUGGCGAACGGGUGAGUAACACGUGGGUGAUCUGCCCUGCACUUCGGGAUAAGCCUGGGAAACUGGGUCUAAUACCGGAUAGGAGCCAUUUUUAGUGUGAUGGUUGGAAAGUUUUUUCGGUGUAGGAUGAGCUCGCGGCCUAUCAGCUUGUUGGUGGGGUAAUGGCCUACCAAGGCGGCGACGGGUAGCCGGCCUGAGAGGGUGGACGGCCACAUUGGGACUGAGAUACGGCCCAGACUCCUACGGGAGGCAGCAGUGGGGAAUAUUGCACAAUGGGCGCAAGCCUGAUGCAGCGACGCCGCGUGGGGGAUGACGGCCUUCGGGUUGUAAACUCCUUUCGCUAGGGACGAAGCUUUUUGUGACGGUACCUAGAUAAGAAGCACCGGCUAACUACGUG